GUAGAGGUGACAGACCUAACGAGCUUAGUGAUAGCUGGUUACUUAAGAAAAGGAUCUUAGUCCUCCCCAAAUUUUUUACAAUAUUUAUAAAUAAAAACUAAAAUUUGGAGUUAUUCAAAUAAGGUACAGCCUAUUUGAACCAGGAUACAACCUCCUCAAACGGGUAAUUAAAUCCAUAUACAGCAAAGUAGGCCUAAAAGCAGCCAUCUUCAAAAAGCGUCAAAGCUUAUCUUCAAAUUUUCAUAAUCCCCCUAAUUUUUAAAACCCCUUAAUCUUUAUUAAGUAACUCUAUAAAAUUAUAGUAUUUAUUAUGUUAAAACUAGUAACGAGAAUCAGAACUUCUCUUUAAUGUAAGUGUAAAUCAGAAUGGACAAACCACUGAUUUUUAACACUUGAAACCAAAGUAACAACCCACCAAGAAAAUCUUACCUCAAAUAGUGUUAACCUGACACAAGAACAUUCUCAGACAGAUUGAAAGGAAAAGAAGGAACUCGGCAAACAUUAACCCCGCCUGUUUACCAAAAACAUCGCCUCUUGAUAAACAUAUAAGAGGUCCAGCCUGCCCAGUGACUCUGUUCAACGGCCGCGGUAUCCUAACCGUGCGAAGGUAGCGUAAUCACUUGUUCUUUAAAUGAGGACUAGUAUGAAUGGCAUCACGAGGGUUAUACUGUCUCCUUUCCCCAAUCAGUGAAACUAAUCUCCUCGUGAAGAAGCGAGGAUAAAUAUAUAAGACGAGAAGACCCUAUGGAGCUUAAAACUUUCAGCAAUUAUCUUUUCUAUAACAACCUUAAGGUUAUUACAUCAACUCUAAUAAUAUGCCUGUCAGUUUUCGGUUGGGGUGACCGCGGAGUAAAACUCACCCUCCGCAAUGAAUAUUAACAAUUAAGCAAAAAACUACAAUUUUAUGCAUCAAAAAAUUGACAGUAUUGACCCAACACUUUGAUCAACGAACCAAGUUACCCUAGGGAUAACAGCGCAAUCCAUCUCAAGAGCUCAUAUCGACAGAUGGGUUUACGACCUCGAUGUUGGAUCAGG
Molecule: ribosomal RNA, 1035 nt
Filed under: Pithecopus gonzagai
Lineage: Eukaryota; Metazoa; Chordata; Amphibia; Anura; Hylidae
Description: partial large subunit ribosomal RNA
Rfam family: Bacterial large subunit ribosomal RNA
Source: RNAcentral